Molecule: ribosomal RNA, 484 nt
Filed under: uncultured bacterium
Lineage: Bacteria
Description: partial 16S ribosomal RNA
Rfam family: Bacterial small subunit ribosomal RNA
Source: RNAcentral
AUUGAACGCUGGCGGCAGGCCUAACACAUGCAAGUCGAGCGGAUGAAGGGAGCUUGCUCCUGGAUUCAGCGGCGGACGGGUGAGUAAUGCCUAGGAAUCUGCCUGGUAGUGGGGGAUAACGUCCGGAAACGGGCGCUAAUACCGCAUACGUCCUGAGGGAGAAAGUGGGGGAUCUUCGGACCUCACGCUAUCAGAUGAGCCUAGGUCGGAUUAGCUAGUUGGUGGGGUAAAGGCCUACCAAGGCGACGAUCCGUAACUGGUCUGAGAGGAUGAUCAGUCACACUGGAACUGAGACACGGCCCAGACUCCUACGGGAGGCAGCAGUGGGGAAUUUUGGACAAUGGGCGAAAGCCUGAUCCAGCCAUGCCGCGUGUGUGAAGAAGGUCUUCGGAUUGUAAAGCACUUUAAGUUGGGAGGAAGGGCAGUAAGUUAAUACCUUGCUGUUUUGACGUUACCAACAGAAUAAGCACCGGCUAACUUCGUG